GUUGAGGCUCAGUGGUAGAGCACUUGCCUAGCAUGUAUGAGGCACUGGGUUCAAUUCUCAGCACCACA
Molecule: transfer RNA, 68 nt
Filed under: Marmota monax (woodchuck)
Lineage: Eukaryota; Metazoa; Chordata; Mammalia; Rodentia; Sciuridae
Description: tRNA.Ala
Rfam family: tRNA (bases 3-63)
About the family: Transfer RNA (tRNA) molecules are approximately 80 nucleotides in length. Their secondary structure includes four short double-helical elements and three loops (D, anti-codon, and T loops). Further hydrogen bonds mediate the characteristic L-shaped molecular structure. tRNAs have two regions of fundamental functional importance: the anti-codon, which is responsible for specific mRNA codon recognition, and the 3' end, to which the tRNAs corresponding amino acid is attached (by aminoacyl-tRNA synthetases). tRNAs cope with the degeneracy of the genetic code in two manners: having more than one tRNA (with a specific anti-codon) for a particular amino acid; and 'wobble' base-pairing, i.e. permitting non-standard base-pairing at the 3rd anti-codon position.
Source: RNAcentral